GCCGUCUAUUAUCAUCUGCUACUUUGUCUGUCCGGUUAGCGGAGAAUUCGUUGAAGAUACGAUACUGAGGAGAAAUAUUCGUUUUAAGGACAAAUUUUGCAGCUUAUUAAUGUGGCAACAGCACCGCGCUAAUUAUCCUUAUUAAUGCAGUGGCGUCAGGAGAAGGAGACGGCAUCAUAAAAUUGUCAACUUUUUGUGUUUAAAAUCGCGAAAGUUGGCGAUUUUAUUUUGUUUUUGCGGUGCCUGUCCCUUGUUGUCGGUUGCGUUGAAGGAUUUACGUGCGUGGCGUCAGGAGGAUGGAGUCGCAUAUAUGUAUCUGCUAGUUUGCCUGGCAAGUUUUGCGUUUUUCUGUUAUCGGAAGAUUAUUGAACAUACGAUACUGCGGAAAAUUAUGCAAUUUAGGGAAGGAUUUUGAGGCUUUUAAAUGUGGUGUCAGCGCCGCGCUAGUUAUCCUUGAUAAUGCAGUGGCAUCAGGAGGUGGAGACGGCGUCGUAAAAUUGUCAACUAAUGUAGACGCUCGUCGAUCUGGGAGAUUUUAAUUUUUACUUUGUAGGUGGAGGUUUAUUUUACCUUUGAUUACAUUUUAUGCAAUAUGUAGGUACAAUUAUUUGAAUUUAGAGAUUAA
Drosophila mauritiana is the source of this 625-nucleotide long non-coding RNA. RefSeq lists it as uncharacterized. The transcript is spliced from 3 exons. The record is from RefSeq and is a predicted model, not a curated record. NCBI's taxonomy places the organism in Eukaryota, Metazoa, Arthropoda, Insecta, Diptera, Drosophilidae.